UCACACAGGAAACUUAGAGUUUGAUCAUGGCUCAGGACGAACGCUGGCGGCGUGCCUAAUACAUGCAAGUCGAGCGGGUUUAUCCUUCGGGGUAAGCUAGCGGCGGACGGGUGAGUAACACGUAGGUAACCUGCCUUUAAGACUGGGAUAACUAUCGGAAACGAUAGCUAAGACCGGAUAACUGGUUUUCUCGCAUGAGAGAAUCAUAAAACACGGAGCAAUCUGUGGCUUGAAGAUGGGCCUGCGGCGCAUUAGCUAGUUGGUGAGGUAACGGCUCACCAAGGCGACGAUGCGUAGCCGACCUGAGAGGGUGAACGGCCACACUGGGACUGAGACACGGCCCAGACUCCUACGGGAGGCAGCAGUAGGGAAUCUUCCGCAAUGGACGCAAGUCUGACGGAGCAACGCCGCGUGAGUGAUGAAGGUUUUCGGAUCGUAAAGCUCUGUUGCCCUAGACGAACAGCAUGAGGAGUAACUGCCUUGUGUGUGACGGUAUAGGAGAAGAAAGCCCCGGCUAACUACGUGCCAGCAGCCGCGGUA
Molecule: ribosomal RNA, 540 nt
Filed under: uncultured bacterium
Lineage: Bacteria
Description: bacterial SSU rRNA
Rfam family: Bacterial small subunit ribosomal RNA
Source: RNAcentral